RNAcentral lists this ribosomal RNA (496 nucleotides) under uncultured bacterium. RNAcentral's name for it is "partial 16S ribosomal RNA". It matches the Rfam family "Bacterial small subunit ribosomal RNA", at positions 28 to 506 of the family's 1533-position model. The record is from RNAcentral.
GAUGAACGCUGGCGGCGUGCCUAAUACAUGCAAGUCGAGCGAACGGACGAGAAGCUUGCUUCUCUGAUGUUAGCGGCGGACGGGUGAGUAACACGUGGAUAACCUACCUAUAAGACUGGGAUAACUUCGGGAAACCGGAGCUAAUACCGGAUAAUAUUUUGAACCGCAUGGUUCAAAAGUGAAAGACGGUCUUGCUGUCACUUAUAGAUGGAUCCGCGCUGCAUUAGCUAGUUGGUAAGGUAACGGCUUACCAAGGCAACGAUGCAUAGCCGACCUGAGAGGGUGUUCGGCCACACUGGAACUGAGACACGGUCCAGACUCCUACGGGAGGCAGCAGUAGGGAAUCUUCCGCAAUGGGCGAAAGCCUGACGGAGCAACGCCGCGUGAGUGAUGAAGGUCUUCGGAUCGUAAAACUCUGUUAUUAGGGAAGAACAUAUGUGUAAGUAACUGUGCACAUCUUGACGGUACCUAAUCAGAAAGCCACGGCUAACUACGU